UACAGAGACUGCGAGCGUUAUUCGGAUUCACUGGGCGUAAAGGGUGCGCAGGCGGCCAAGUGUGUGAGGCGUGAAAGCCUGGGGCUUAACUCCAGAAUUGCACCUCAAACUACAUGGCUAGAGCAUUGGAGAGGGUAGCAGAAUUCACGGUGUAGCAGUGAAAUGCGUAGAUAUCGUGAGGAAUACCAGAGGCGAAGGCGAGUCCCUGGACAAGACCUGACACUGAGGCACGAAAGCCAGGGGAGCAAACAGG
Molecule: ribosomal RNA, 253 nt
Filed under: uncultured bacterium
Lineage: Bacteria
Description: partial 16S ribosomal RNA
Rfam family: Bacterial small subunit ribosomal RNA
Source: RNAcentral